UACAGAGGUCCCAAGCGUUGUUCGGAUUCACUGGGCGUAAAGGGUGCGUAGGCGGCCAACUAAGUCAGACGUGAAAUCCCUCGGCUUAACCGGGGAACUGCAUCUGAUACUGGAUGGCUUGAGUUCGGGAGAGGGAUGCGGAAUUCCAGGUGUAGCGGUGAAAUGCGUAGAUAUCUGGAGGAACACCGGUGGCGAAGGCAGCUCGCUGGGACGGUACUGACGCUGAGGCGCGAAAGCGUGGGGAGCGAACAGG
RNAcentral lists this ribosomal RNA (253 nucleotides) under uncultured bacterium. RNAcentral's name for it is "partial 16S ribosomal RNA". It matches the Rfam family "Bacterial small subunit ribosomal RNA", at positions 524 to 776 of the family's 1533-position model. The record is from RNAcentral.